GGAACGUUAUUUCAGCCUUCCGCCACUCCUUUAGAGAGUUUAUGAGGAUGCUCUUAGAUAAUGCAGCCACAGGUUUUCAGGUUAUUUCAGUCUGUAGGGUAGGCUGUGAUGCACAGAAUGAAUAGAAACUGGAAUCUUCUUGCUUUGAAUCUCUUUUGCAUUUCACACAUGUUUAAAUAGAAAUAGGUACAUAUGAUUUCCCAAUUCUGUUGAAUAGAUUUAGGAAGAUGGUGGCCUCACUUUUUAUUUUAUCAGUGCCUGGCAAAGGCAAUAGAAUGAACACUAGGUAACAGAGUAUCACAACUUUUUUUUGCAAGUUUAACUGAUAGCACCUAAUCCAACUGUAAAUAUAAUUACAAAUAAGGUUCUGAGCACCAACUCACUAAUCGGUGCCAUGUUUUCCUUUUUCUUGUUUUUAAAGUUUUUAUUUUGUUCCUUUUUCAUAUCUUUAAGUAGUUCACGAAUUUAAUCUUGAAGGAGAGUUAGAGAAAAUUUUAAGAUUUUACUACGUGUAUUC
RNAcentral lists this long non-coding RNA (517 nucleotides) under Bos taurus (domestic cattle). Its description in RNAcentral is "long non-coding RNA NONBTAT026254". The record is from RNAcentral. Lineage: Eukaryota; Metazoa; Chordata; Mammalia; Artiodactyla; Bovidae.